RNAcentral lists this ribosomal RNA (392 nucleotides) under Cerioporus varius. RNAcentral describes it as "partial large subunit ribosomal RNA". It matches the Rfam family "Bacterial large subunit ribosomal RNA", at positions 1719 to 2104 of the family's 2925-position model. Lineage: Eukaryota; Fungi; Basidiomycota; Agaricomycetes; Polyporales; Polyporaceae. The record is from RNAcentral.
AAAUUAUCCUCAUAAGUUUGACGACAAGAGGAACCCUGUACACCAUUUAUAAUUUUAUGGGGGAAGGGUGGCACAAAAUCGGAGGCCCCGACUGUUUACUAAAAACACAAUUCAGAGCAAUGAUGAAAAAUCAUAGUAUUCUGGAUGAAAUUUGCCCAAUGCCAUUAACAUAAAAGAGGUUAUAGGUAACUGUAACUGAUUGAAAGUCUGGUUAAUAGCGGUCUUAACUAUGAGGAUCCAAAGGUAGCAAAAUAAAUUGGCCAUUAAAUGUGGUCUGGUAUCAAUAGUGUAACGAUGGUCUCACUGUCUCUACAACUUGCUCAGUGAAAUUGAAUUACCCGUGCAGAUGCGGGUUGCCUCCAGGUGGACGGGAAGACCCUAUGCAGCUUUUU